This 75-nucleotide transfer RNA is filed under the name Bacillota bacterium. Its description in RNAcentral is "tRNA-Gln". It matches the Rfam family "tRNA". Rfam says of the family: Transfer RNA (tRNA) molecules are approximately 80 nucleotides in length. Their secondary structure includes four short double-helical elements and three loops (D, anti-codon, and T loops). The record is from RNAcentral. Lineage: Bacteria; Bacillati; Bacillota.
UGGGGUGUAGCCAAGCGGUAAGGCACCGGGUUUUGGUCCCGGCAUGCGCAGGUUCAAAUCCUGCCACCUCAGCCA